GUGCCCAAUUUGGAAGCACAUAUUCUAAAAUUGAAAAAAUACAAAAAAGAUUAGCAUGUCCCCUGCACAAGAAUGAUAU
Molecule: small nuclear RNA, 79 nt
Filed under: Mus pahari (shrew mouse)
Lineage: Eukaryota; Metazoa; Chordata; Mammalia; Rodentia; Muridae
Source: RNAcentral